CGCAGCGCGGUUCCCUGCUACUGGGAGAAUCAGCCGGGAGGCUGUCAGAAAGCCCACUGCCGUUUUCUUCACUUGAAGGAACGCGGUGGGAACGGACCGACCGUACCACCAAGUGACGAAGCUGACACAAGCCUUCCACUGAACAGCGGCCCUGCAGAAAGUCUGGAGAACCAGACAGAGGUUGAGGAGGCAGCAGAAGGAGGUGACAUCCCAUCUUCCUCCCAUGGCCCCGCUGCGCAAAAG
This is a long non-coding RNA of Tympanuchus pallidicinctus (lesser prairie-chicken), 243 nucleotides long. RefSeq lists it as uncharacterized. The transcript has 3 exons. The record is from RefSeq and is a predicted model, not a curated record. Lineage: Eukaryota; Metazoa; Chordata; Aves; Galliformes; Phasianidae.